CCUACGUGGGCAGCAGUGGGGAAUAUUGGACAAUGGGCGAAAGCCUGAUCCAGCCAUGCCGCGUGUGUGAAGAAGGCCUUCGGGUUGUAAAGCACUUUCAGUGGGGAAGAAAGCCUUGGGGCUAAUACCCUCGAGGAAGGACAUCACCCACAGAAGAAGCACCGGCUAACUCCGUGCCAGCAGCCGCGGUAAUACGGAGGGUGCGAGCGUUAAUCGGAAUUACUGGGCGUAAAGCGCGCGUAGGCGGUCUGAUAAGCCGGUUGUGAAAGCCCCGGGCUCAACCUGGGAACGGCAUCCGGAACUGUCAGGCUAGAGUGCAGGAGAGGAAGGUAGAAUUCCCGGUGUAGCGGUGAAAUGCGUAGAGAUCGGGAGGAAUACCAGUGGCGAAGGCGGCCUUCUGGACUGACACUGACGCUGAGGUGCGAAAGCGUGGGUAGCAAACAGGAUUAGAUACCCGAGUAGUC
RNAcentral lists this ribosomal RNA (464 nucleotides) under Vreelandella stevensii. Its description in RNAcentral is "partial 16S ribosomal RNA". It matches the Rfam family "Bacterial small subunit ribosomal RNA", at positions 338 to 795 of the family's 1533-position model. Lineage: Bacteria; Pseudomonadati; Pseudomonadota; Gammaproteobacteria; Oceanospirillales; Halomonadaceae. The record is from RNAcentral.